RNAcentral lists this ribosomal RNA (253 nucleotides) under uncultured bacterium. RNAcentral describes it as "partial 16S ribosomal RNA". It matches the Rfam family "Bacterial small subunit ribosomal RNA", at positions 524 to 776 of the family's 1533-position model. The record is from RNAcentral.
GACGUAGGAUGCAAGCAUUGUCCGGAUUUAUUGGGCGUAAAGAGUUCGUAGGCGGUUUGUUAAGUCUAAUGUUAAAGAUCAGGGCUCAACCCUGGGACUGCAUUGGAUACUGGCAGACUGGAGUGUGGUAGAGGUAAGUGGAAUUUCUGGUGUAGCGGUGAAAUGCGUAGAUAUCAGGAAGAACACCAGUGGCGUAGGCGACUUACUGGGCCAUAACUGACGCUGAGGAACGAAAGCUAGGGGAGCAAAUGGG